UUCCAACCUUACAGUAGAAUGCAUAUCAAAGUAUCCUUUAUUUAAAAUGUAUUUAGUGCAAUAAUGAUAAUAAUACUAAAAGUAACAUGUUUUAUGCACAUCUGCAAAAAACAGUUGGAGUCAAACAAAACAGAGUCAAAGGUCUAUCACGAAUUAGGUUGUUUAUUCAUUUGCUUACAGUAUUUCACAUUACACAAUAUCUCACUAUAAUGUAGCGUUCAUUGACUUUGAAAUUAUCUGUCAGUGAUACAGUAAACAAGAUACAACAACUGCUAUGUACACUUUAGUUUUUGACAAUAUAUACAAUAUAGUACUUAAAGGAACACACUCCACUUUUUUUGGAAAUAGGCUCAUUCUCCAUCUCCCUCAGUUAAAAAUGCAGCGUCUUCUUUCUAGAUCCAUACGUUAAUAGGGCUCUGGAGCGUGAUCUUACGGGAUGGGGCGUAGCCAAGAUUUUUGGUCGAGGCGCCAUAUUAGCAGGCCAAACAAAUGCUUGCUGUGUGGCCGGUUGUAAUGUUAGAUUGCACUACCGGCAAAGGAAUAAGCUUGAAAACAGGCUCUCAUUUCAUUGUUUCCUCACCUGGAAGCAUCAUGAGGGAGCUUAUGUGUUGGAUGUUACCAAAAGAAGGCGUCUAGCCUGGAUAGCAGCUGUGAGACGAGCUGAUAUUCAGUUCUCUACCAUCCCCAGAUAUCUGUUGGUGUGCUCCAGUAUUUUCAUUCAGCAAACCAGCCUAUGAAAUGAAUGAAACAAAUCCUGACUGGGUUCCAACACUACACAUGGGGCACUACGAAAUCCCUGCUUCAAACUACAUGCUACAUACCACCAUACCAAUCAGAUAACUUCUUCCAUGUGAGGGUAAAAAGGUGACCCUCCUGGAUAAGAUGGCAAAGGUUUGCUGCGUUUUGGUGAACAUGUGCCCCAGUGUGGUAGUAAAACCAGGGAAAAUGCUCUUGUUAAAUACUCUUAAGUCUUGUGCUGUUUAUGUAGUGAUAAGUUUUCAAAAGAGACAGUAAAUUACAGAAUGCUAGUAGUGGGUGAUAUUAUUUAAAUGCUGUCAUGAUUUUAUGUGAACAUUUUGUCAUUUGUAAACUAUACAUAACAUUGAUUCUACAUGGUAACUGAUUUGAUGUUCUACAAAGUGCUUUUAAUUACAAAUAGGCAAACAUUUCUUUGUUUCUUUAUUCAACUUUUGAACAGUGGUACUUAGUAAGUACAUAUUCAGUAAAUGCAAAUUAUUUACAUGGCCCCCUAAAUUAAAACAUUUUGGGUUAUUCAGAACAGAACUAAGCUUGGAAAGAUAUUGUCCCAUCAGUUGAUCCAACUCCUUCACAGUAGCAGGUGGAACUUUUCUUUUUUGAGGAUGGCUUCUUUUACCUGUCACAACGAAUGGUCUGUUUAUGUUUUGAUCAAGAACCUUUUUUUGGGCAGCU
This 1431-nucleotide long non-coding RNA is filed under the name Oreochromis niloticus (Nile tilapia). Its description in RNAcentral is "lncRNA (ENSONIG00000038729.1)". The record is from RNAcentral. Lineage: Eukaryota; Metazoa; Chordata; Actinopteri; Cichliformes; Cichlidae.